GAUGAAGAACGUAGCGAAAUGCGAUAAGUAAUGUGAAUUGCAGAAUUCAGUGAAUCAUCGAAUCUUUGAACGCACAUUGCGCCCGCCAGCACUCUGGCGGGCAUGCCUGUUCGAGCGUCAUUUCAACCAUCAAGCCCCCAGGGGCUUGUGCUGGGGCCCUGCGGCUGCCCGCAGGCCCUGAAAACCAGUGGCGGGCUCGCUAGUCACACCGAGCGCAGUAGCACAUCUCGCUCAGGGCGUGCGGCGGGCUCCUGCCGUGAAACCCCCCACUGUAACCCUAAAGGUUGACCUCGGAUCAGGUAGGAAUACCCGCUGAACUUAAGCAUAUCAAUAAGCGGAGGA
RNAcentral lists this unclassified non-coding RNA (342 nucleotides) under soil metagenome. Its description in RNAcentral is "partial contains 5.8S ribosomal RNA, internal transcribed spacer 2, and large subunit ribosomal RNA". The stretch from base 1 to 120 matches the Rfam family "5.8S ribosomal RNA", at positions 35 to 154 of the family's 154-position model. The record is from RNAcentral.